UACCCUGAGCGGCGGAUCCACUCGGCUCGUGGGUCGA
This 37-nucleotide ribosomal RNA is filed under the name Lygus hesperus (lygus bug). Its description in RNAcentral is "partial 5.8S ribosomal RNA". The record is from RNAcentral. Lineage: Eukaryota; Metazoa; Arthropoda; Insecta; Hemiptera; Miridae.